GGCUGCGCGGGUGGUGCGGGCGCUGUGGCCUGGUGGGUGCGCCUUGGCCUGGAGGCUGGGAGGCCGCCCCCAGCCGCUGCUACCCACGCAGAGCCGGGCUGGCUUCGCGGGGGCGGCGGGCGGCCCGAGCCCCGUGGCUGCAGCUCGUAAGGGGAGCCCGCGGCUGCUGGGAGCAGCGGCGCUGGCCCUGGGGGGAGCCCUGGGGCUGUACCACACGGCGCGGUGGCACCUGCGCGCCCAGGACCUCCACGCAGAGCGCUCAGCCGCGCAGCUCUCCCUGUCCAGCCGCCUGCAGCUGACCCUGUACCAGUACAAGACGUGUCCCUUCUGCAGCAAGGUCCGAGCCUUCCUCGACUUCCACGCCCUGCCCUACCAGGUGGUGGAGGUGAACCCUGUGCGCAGGGCUGAGAUCAAGUUCUCCUCCUACAGAAAGGUGCCCAUCCUGGUGGCCCAGGAAGGAGAAAGCUCGGGACGGCAGAUAUGAAAUGCCCGGCACAGUGCUUGGGGUCUAGUAUGUAGCUUCCAAAACCCACCCUGCCCCUCUACCUGGGAGGCCAAAUGGCAACAACUAAAUGACUCCUCUGUCAUCAUCAGCGCCCUCAAGACCUACCUGGUGUCGGGGCAGCCCCUGGAAGAGAUCAUCACCUACUACCCAGCCAUGAAGGCUGUGAACGAGCAGGGCAAGGAGGUGACCGAGUUCGGCAAUAAGUACUGGCUCAUGCUCAACGAGAAGGAGGCCCAGCAAGUGUAUGGCGGGAAGGAGGCCAGGACGGAGGAGAUGAAGUGGCGGCAGUGGGCGGACGACUGGCUGGUGCACCUGAUCUCCCCCAAUGUGUACCGCACGCCCACCGAGGCUCUGGCGUCCUUUGACUACAUUGUCCGCGAGGGCAAGUUCGGA
Molecule: small RNA, 898 nt
Filed under: Pan troglodytes (chimpanzee)
Lineage: Eukaryota; Metazoa; Chordata; Mammalia; Primates; Hominidae
Description: processed transcript
Source: RNAcentral